Molecule: non-coding RNA, 228 nt
Organism: Vicia faba (fava bean)
Lineage: Eukaryota; Viridiplantae; Streptophyta; Magnoliopsida; Fabales; Fabaceae
Source: the annotation of a GenBank genome assembly
AUGGUGAAAGGGAAAGUGUAUGGGAAGAAGAAGUUGCAGAGGGUGGUGAUUUUGCUGAUGAUGAUUGAGGGCACUGAGAAAAUAACGAUUUCUGGUUUGUUUUUGUUUGAAAGCAAGGCAUGGGUCGGAAUUGUACCAAGCCAGUUUGCUGAUGGAUGCAGGGAUUUAGUAGAGGUAUAUGUUGCCGCAACUCUAGUGGUGUCUCGGCAUGGUUUCAAGGUCCAUUGA